Molecule: ribosomal RNA, 497 nt
Filed under: uncultured bacterium
Lineage: Bacteria
Description: partial 16S ribosomal RNA
Rfam family: Bacterial small subunit ribosomal RNA
Source: RNAcentral
GAUGAACGCUGGCGGCGUGCCUAAUACAUGCAAGUCGAGCGAACGGACGAGAAGCUUGCUUCUCUGAUGUUAGCGGCGGACGGGUGAGUAACACGUGGAUAACCUACCUAUAAGACUGGGAUAACUUCGGGAAACCGGAGCUAAUACCGGAUGAUAUUUUGAACCGCAUGGUUCAAAAGUGAAAGACGGUCUUGCUGUCACUUAUAGAUGGAUCCGCGCUGCAUUAGCUAGUUGGUAAGGUAACGGCUUACCAAGGCAACGAUGCAUAGCCGACCGGAGAGGGGGAUCGGCCACCUGGGAAGUGAGACGCGGUCCAGACUCCUACGGGAGGCAGCAGUAGGGAAUCUGACGCAAUGGGCGAAAGCAUGACGGAGUAACGCGGCGUGAGUGAUGAAGGUGUUCGGUUCGUAAAACUCUGUUAUGAGGGAAGAACAGAUGUGUAAGUAACUGAGCACAUCUUGACGGUACCUAAUCAGAAAGCCACGGCUAACUACGUG